This is a long non-coding RNA of Lolium perenne, 2247 nucleotides long. RefSeq lists it as uncharacterized. Lineage: Eukaryota; Viridiplantae; Streptophyta; Magnoliopsida; Poales; Poaceae. The record is from RefSeq and is a predicted model, not a curated record.
UUGGCUGCUGUUUUCAUCUUCUUCGUUUCAGUCACGCGAGGAGCAUCAGCUCCCUGUCAACAUCAGCCUCUCAACCACUCCCCUCUCCCCUCAUGUUUUCUCCACCUCAGCUUCAGAUCAAACCCUAGCUGCCCCCUCCUCCCUCGCGCCGCCACUCCCUCCUCUUUCCCCAACUUUUCUCCUUCUCUGUGAGCCAACCAUGGAAGAAGCCCGCGCAGACCACCAUGGCGCCGUCGAUUCAAAGCGCCCUGCACCAUCCUGAGGGCACCAGCGAGUGCGCCUCAUCGCCCUCUUCCUCAUGUUGCAAAGAAUCGAGCCGGGGGCGCUCCAAUUCAUCGCCACGGCCUCCUUCUCCAUCUUCGGCGCUGGGGAAAGUCACUGGUUUUCGGCCCGCCUCCGACCUCGUCCGCCCCGCCAAGGUGUUCUUCAUCUUCCUGGUGAGAUGGCUCCCCUUUUCCCUCUUUUCCCCGUCCUGUUUGCUCGCUGUUUGGCGUCGCCAAAUUCUGACGGUACUGUCGCCCUUUUUCUGUCCGAGAUAUGCCGCCGGAGUUCUCUGUCCUUGCCGUCACCAUGGGCCUCGCUGCGCCAUGCUAGCACCGUCUCCUUCGACCCAUACGACAAAAGCAGCAACCUCUCGCAUUUGCUUCUUCCCGGAUAGGAUCACGAAGUGGUGUGGUGAGAUACGACAAGUUCUCCGGAUGUUCAUCGGCAAGCUUUAACAGGCAAGCAUUUCCCCUAUACUCCUGCCCCUGCAGAAGUCGCUUACCUAUUUUAUUUUGCCUUCUCCCUUAUGCUAUCCUUGAGUUGCGUUCUUGUCACGUGUCCCUUCCACUUGUUACCUCAAGCAGCCUAUAUUGCCUCCACCAACCACCUACAGCUAUUGUUUGGUUACCGGGUCUGCCUUGCGAGUCGUAGUGCAUGCUAGUGCUGUUUAUAUCCCGUUACCGUUACUGCUAUCUUAUCGGGUUAUUUGUUGGGGAACAUGACACAUGGUUUAUGGUUAUAUCUGUUGAAAGUAUCAUGGUUACUUGUUAAUAGUUGUUAGCGGAGGCAUCGGUGGGUCAGUUGCUCGUUUUAUGACGGCUCACUUGUGUUUCCUAAAUAUCUUAGGACCCCGAGUUCUUGUUAUCUGUUCCGAGACUGAGCGCUCUAACCACACGUGGGUAUGUUUCUGGGUCUCCCCUCGACCACUGCCGGAAUCUACAGCUUUGUCCAGUGGCCACAACUAGUUUCGUAAUGUUUUACCAUUUGUUGUUUGCGUGCAUGCCAGCCUGUUACUUAUUUACUUUGGGAAGCCCCUGGGUGCCUUGUAUCCCUUGUUUCUGGUAUGCACGUAUAGGUUUGCGGCCUGAGCGUUUAUCGCAUGCUGAAGCGGGUCAUUCGCCCCUGUGUGUGUUCUGACCCUCGGAAGCCGUGCACGCAAUAGCUAGGUCCGUUUCGGAGAUACGGCCGAACUUCGAUUCGGGUUUAACUUGGUUAGGUGGCUUCCUGGACAUUGUUGUCGUGAAGGAGAGUGCGAGUCGUUAUAUCCACCUGUCGCAAGUGGAUUGAUCGUGCGUGUGGGCACAUUUGGGCACCCCUGCAGGGUUACAAUCUUAUCGAUAAGCCGCGUCCGCGGUUAUGGACGACUUGGAGCUGUAUGACUCGACCAUAGACAACUUACACCUGUUGUUUUAAUCAUAAUAACUUGUGUAGUAAGUUAGCACAACUUUAAUAAUAAAUGGUUAAAACUUGAUAACCGUGUGAGUGCCUUUGUAAGUACUUCUUUGCGAAGGGGGAAAGUAUCGGCCGUGUUAUGUUUGCAGAGUAUAGAACUGUUAGUUUUUGCGCUCUCUCAUCUCCUCUGAUUAGACAAAUGUUGUAGAGUGUCUCUAUAGGUUUUUAGUGCUUGCGCUGCCGCUUAACUCCACCAUAUUGCCUAUGACGUUCCUCUUGCGUCCUCUAAGUCCCCUGCGUGCCUCAAGUACAAAGGACGACUGGUUGACGAAUGCUUAUACGUCUUGAAGUCUUGUUAAGUACGAACCCGUACUUAUUGCUGCUUCUACGGGAUAUAACCGGGCAGGUAUGAAGAUAUGUUCGAAGAAGGCGACGCUAGCAAGGUUACCCUUCCGGCUUGGCCUGGGCAGGGUUAUGGACGCCACUUGUUUAUCUUCAGGACUCUUAGUCCAAAUUUGUAUCUUGUCCGUACUCGGACGUAUUUGAUCUUUUGUAUGAUUUGGAUCUUUGUAUUGUAUAUUUGUAUCUUGA